CCUACGGGGGGCAGCAGUGGGGAAUAUUGGACAAUGGGGGCAACCCUGAUCCAGCCAUGCCGCGUGUGUGAAGAAGGCCCUCGGGUUGUAAAGCACUUUCAGUGAGGAAGAACGCCUGGUGGUUAAUACCCAUCAGGAAAGACAUCACUCACAGAAGAAGCACCGGCUAACUCCGUGCCAGCAGCCGCGGUAAUACGGAGGGUGCGAGCGUUAAUCGGAAUUACUGGGCGUAAAGCGCGCGUAGGUGGCUUGAUAAGCCGGUUGUGAAAGCCCCGGGCUCAACCUGGGAACGGCAUCCGGAACUGUCAAGCUAGAGUGCAGGAGAGGAAGGUAGAAUUCCCGGUGUAGCGGUGAAAUGCGUAGAGAUCGGGAGGAAUACCAGUGGCGAAGGUGGCCUUCUGGACUGACACUGACACUGAGGUGCGAAAGCGUGGGUAGCAAACAGGAUUAGAUACCCCUGUAGUC
This 465-nucleotide ribosomal RNA is filed under the name Vreelandella stevensii. RNAcentral's name for it is "partial 16S ribosomal RNA". It matches the Rfam family "Bacterial small subunit ribosomal RNA", at positions 338 to 795 of the family's 1533-position model. The record is from RNAcentral. Lineage: Bacteria; Pseudomonadati; Pseudomonadota; Gammaproteobacteria; Oceanospirillales; Halomonadaceae.